GACGAACGCUGGCGGCGUGCUUAACACAUGCCAGUCGAACGCUGAAGCUCAGCUUUUGUUGGGUGGAUGAGUGGCGAACGGGUGAGUAACACGUGAGUAACCUGCCCCCUUCUUUGGGAUAACGCCCGGAAACGGGUGCUAAUACUGGAUAUUCACUGGCCUUCGCAUGGGGGUUGGUGGAAAGGGUUUUUCUGGUGGGGGAUGGGCUCGCGGCCUAUCAGCUUGUUGGUGGGGUGAUGGCCUACCAAGGCUUUGACGGGUAGCCGGCCUGAGAGGGUGACCGGUCACAUUGGGACUGAGAUACGGCCCAGACUCCUACGGGAGGCAGCAGUGGGGAAUAUUGCACAAUGGGCGCAAGCCUGAUGCAGCGACGCCGCGUGAGGGAUGGAGGCCUUCGGGUUGUGAACCUCUUUCGCUCAUGGUCAAGCCGCAACAAUGGUUGUGGUGAGGGUAGUGGGUAAAGAAGCGCCGGCUAACUACGUG
This 483-nucleotide ribosomal RNA is filed under the name uncultured bacterium. RNAcentral describes it as "partial 16S ribosomal RNA". It matches the Rfam family "Bacterial small subunit ribosomal RNA", at positions 28 to 507 of the family's 1533-position model. The record is from RNAcentral.